Molecule: transfer RNA, 73 nt
Organism: Ethanoligenens harbinense
Lineage: Bacteria; Bacillati; Bacillota; Clostridia; Eubacteriales; Oscillospiraceae
Rfam family: tRNA
About the family: Transfer RNA (tRNA) molecules are approximately 80 nucleotides in length. Their secondary structure includes four short double-helical elements and three loops (D, anti-codon, and T loops).
Source: Rfam
GGGGGUAUAGCUCAGCUGGGAGAGCGCCUGCAUGGCAUGCAGGAGGUCAGCGGUUCGAUCCCGCUUAUCUCCA